Molecule: non-coding RNA, 201 nt
Organism: Camelina sativa (false flax)
Lineage: Eukaryota; Viridiplantae; Streptophyta; Magnoliopsida; Brassicales; Brassicaceae
Source: RefSeq, a predicted model, not a curated record
CUUUUACAGACAGUUGAAAGCACAGCACGUGAAUAUUUGGCGAAUGAUAAAUUUAGUACACUCACAGCAACAGUGAAUUUCAUUGAUCUUGCUGGAAGUGAACGUGCAUCUCAAUCAUUAUCUGCUGGCACAAGGUUGAAAGAAGGUGGUCAUAUAAACCGAAGUUUACUAACACUAGGAACUGUCAUUCGAAAGCUAAGG